UUUUUUUCAUUUUAAUUUCUUUCUGUGGAAUCAUUAGUAAGAUAUAGUGCCUUGUUUGAGAUGCCUUUACAUGACAGAAACGAACAGGAAAGUAUGAUAAUACCUUUUUGGGAUUAAGAAUCCAUGACAAGUGUUUGCAAAAUCCAAUUAUGUUGCAGCCAAAAGAUGGAGAAGAAAAGCAAAAUCAAAGUGGGCAGAUUAGAAAGAAAUUGAUUCUGUUGCCUCUGGUGUCACAGUCCAUGCUCCUGUCCACUUGUGAACAGAUAAUACCAAAAAAAUGCUUACUUUUUAUUUUGCACCAAUUAUGUUAAAAUAUUCUCUUGGUGCA
Long non-coding RNA from Cucurbita maxima (winter squash), 328 nucleotides. RefSeq lists it as uncharacterized. The transcript is spliced from 2 exons. Lineage: Eukaryota; Viridiplantae; Streptophyta; Magnoliopsida; Cucurbitales; Cucurbitaceae. The record is from RefSeq and is a predicted model, not a curated record.